Long non-coding RNA from Heterocephalus glaber (naked mole-rat), 6393 nucleotides. The record is from Ensembl. Lineage: Eukaryota; Metazoa; Chordata; Mammalia; Rodentia; Bathyergidae.
GGCGGAAGCGCGCGCAAGGCCCAGACGCCGCCGCGCGCAGCCACUGGCAACCGCGCCAUGGCAACCGGACGCCCGGGAGGAAUCUUAAAGCCGCAGCGCCUCCUUUCCCGUCGCCGCCCGUUCCCCAGGGGAAGGCGUCCUAUAGAGGAAGGUUCAGAGCGGGAGUCAGGACUUGGGGUCUGACUCGCACCCUCGUUCGUGUUUAUCGGAUGCGUAUCGGGCCUGCGAGGCCAAGCGCGGGCCAGACGCCGGGGAGGGGAACGGGCAGUGAUUAAAACAUGAACAAGAUCCUGCCAAGAAGAGUUCACAGUCUAGCGCGCAAGGCAGACCAGGCUGGCGAGCCCAAAACUGGAAUCAGCCCAGAUGUCCUCCGACAGGUGAAUGGUUAAAGAAGCUGUGGUGUAUCUAUACUGGAGAUAAAUGAAAGCAGUGAACCGUUGAUACCCACGAAAACUUGGAUGAUCUCCUGGGAAUUGUGCUGUGUGAAAAGACCCAAUCCUAAAAGGUUACGUGUUGUAUGUUUCAGUUCCUGAAGUGACAAAAUUUAGAAGAGGAGGACAGAGUAGUGGUACAAAAUAUUAAGCGGGGGUAGAGAAAUAGGUGUGAUUAUAAAAAUAAAACAUGAGGAAUCUUUGUGGUGCUGGGACUAUAGUGGUGGAUAUACAAACUUACACAGGUAAUAAAACAGCUUAGGACUUAAUAUACACAUACCCAGACAAGAACAAGAGAAACAUUUACAAGGCCGGUAGAUUGUAGCAAUGUCAAUAUUCUGGCUGUGAUAUCAUAAUAUGGCUUUGCAAACCGUUACCAUUCAGUGAAAGUGGGCAAGGUGCACAUGAGAUCACUGUAUUAUUUCUUAACAGCAGCAUGGGAAUCUAUACUUAUCUCAUUUUCUUACUAAAUGUUAUGACAAAUUAUUAAUGUCUCUGCUGGGUAUAGGGGAGAAGGAGCUGCCCAUGUGUUCCCAUUGUAGAAUUCCAAAGAGGAAGGUUAAUAAAUAUUAUUCUCAUUAUGGUACAUCAAUGAAAUGAUCAUAACCAUGGGGGGUAUUUGUAUCUAUUGACCCAAUAAUUCCACUUCUUGGAAUGUAUUAUUAACAAUGCAUGAAGCCAAGCAGGAUGCCCGCUUAUAAUCUCAGCUAUUCAUGAGGCUGAGGCAGGAAUAUUCAAAAUGUGAGGCCUGCCUGGGCAAUUUAGCAAGACUUUGUCUAAAUAAAUAAAUAAAUAAAUAAACAAACAAAUGUUAAAAACAGGCUGGGAAUAUAGCUCAGUGGAAGAGCGCCUGCCUAGUAUGUGCAAGGUCCAGGGUUCAAUCCCCAGUACCACACACACACAUAUACAGGGGGGAAAAAAGGGAAGAAAUUUUAUGUGUUUGGAUAUUCACUGCCAUAUUAUUUAUAGCAGUGAAAAGAUAUAAAUGAUUAAAAAUAGGUGAUGAGACAUAAAUCACAGUGUAUGUAGGUGAUAAAAUACUCUACGUAGACUUUAAAGAUGCUUUAAAAAAAUACACCCAGAAGGGCUGGGGAUUUAGCUCAGUGGUUCCAGCGCCUGCCUCGCAAAUGCAAGGUCCCAAGUUCGAUCCCCGGUACCCCCCCGCAAAAAAAAACACUCAGAGCCUGACAUGGUGGUACAAUCUGUAAUCCCUGCACUGGGGUGGCUGAGGCAGGAGGAUCUCUAUGAGUUCAAGGCUAGUUUGGGAUACACAGUGAGUUCAAGGCUGGCCUCGACUACAUAGUGAGACCCUGUGUCACCCCAUCUUCCCAAAACCCAAAACCAAAACAAACAAAAAACACAAAAUCAACCCAAAAACAACAAAUUUAAAAAAUCACCCAGUACAAUGCUGGUACAUAGUAGACACCCAAUAAAUGCAGUUCUCUUUUCUUCCUGGAUUGCUCUGGAUAUCAAAAGAGCUAAUAUAGGGGCUGGAGAUGUAGCUCAGUGGUUCCACUGCCUGCUUUGCAAGCACAGGGUCCUGAGUUUGAUCCCCAGUACCAAAAAAAGAGCUAAUGUAGGUCAAUGUACUUGGCAAACUGUAAAGUGCCUGGAGAAAGCUAGUUGUUGCUAUCCUUCUUAGGGCUGCCAGGUACAAGAGUGGCUAAGAGGUGGCAUGGGACCAUAGCUUCUUUCCUGGCUAGGGAGGCACGGGAAUGGGGGAACUGACUCCUUGGGGAAUCUGGGUCCUUUCUAGGGCACUGCCACUCUAGUCCACGCCAUGAAGAAAACAACGAACAUUCUCCUGGCAAGUGGGGGGCAUCACAGAGUGUGGAACCACGUGGGCCCUGCUGGCUCUGCAGUAACAGUGCUCUACUGCAUUGCGUGCCCACUGUCGGGCACUGUCCUGGGUGCUUUACACAUGUGUGUGCAGAUUCUCACAACCACCCAAGGGGAGCUGUUCACCUGCACAUCACAGAUAAGGACACUCAGGCUCAAAGGGGCCAAGUGACUUACCAAGGCAGCUGGCGAGUGGCAGGGCUGGCACUGGAACCUGGCCCUCUGCUGGGUUAAUCCGUGAUCUGAGCACCACAGGUAUGAUAUUUUGAUGGCGUGAGGAGGUGUGCUGUGUGGAGACUGAGGCAGCCCGCAGAAGGAAGCACGUUCUCCGGCGUUCCCUGUACAUGUAGGACUCCAAUCCCUUGUAGGCAGAAGACAGACCUCUGGAGAGAAGUAGGCCCACUCUGGUCUUUCAUCCUAGAGGAAGUUUUCUCGUGUGUUUAACCUCCAUCUUGCCUGCUGACGUCCAGUCUCUUUUCUCCCUUUGCUUCCAGUGAGGAUGGGGAGCUGAUGGCCUGGUUCCUCCUGACUUCUCCAUGAAUGGUUCCAGGGACUUCUAUUUUCCCAGCUCCUCGGAGGACAUGAUGAGGGUGCUUCAGCCCCUUUGGCCUCUGUCCAAGGUACCAAACCAAAAGACACACAGGAGAGAUGGAGCAGGAAGGACAGGCAGACCAAGGCCAGCUUGCAGAUGAGCCCAGGAGUCUCCUGGGACCUGGGUGCCAUCUCAGACUCAGGAUACAGUGGGCUUCCGGUCUGAUGUCUACCCAGACGUGGAGGUCUGGCCAGUAUCUGGCCAGACAUCUCUAGAGUUGCCUCUCUCAGACAGAAAAGAGGGGCUAAGGGUUCUGCUACUUGGGUUUUCCACUUCCACUUCAGUGCUACCUGGCUCCAUCGCUCUGGUUCAGCUAAUGCAGCUGGGGGCUUAGGGUUGCCCAGGGAAGAGAAAGGUCUUGUCAGGAGGAUGUCGGGACCCUGAGGCUAGGGCCAAAAGAACUCUUCCCAGAUCUCAAGAGCAGGUCAAGAGCUCUUUCCUCUCCUCUCUUCUUGUGAGGACCAGGAGGGCAACUGGGGCCUGAGCCUGGGCACACAGGGUGGAGGGGGACGUGUCAUUCCUCCCUCUCUCUCCCACACAUUGUUCAACUCUGCUGGGGCCCAAGUAUGCCCACUGCUCAGCCUGGCUUCCUGGCCCAUCCACCGACGGACAGGAGAGGGUUAAAGGCAUGGUAUGGACAAGCUAUAAAUUUCCCAUCAGUGUAGGGAGAGCAGGAUUGUUGGCAGGGAGGGGGCUGGGCUGGGGGGAGGGGAGCUGGGAAAAAGCCAGGAGGUUGUCUCUAGGUAACAAUAAACACUGCAAGCAAGGAGCAGCUGUUACACUUACUCUCUCUGCAUCACAAUGCUGAAAUAACACUAAUAAACCAGUGUGCCCAAUGCACAGGCACACAUGCAUUCAGGGCUGGGGCCCCAGUGCACACCUAGGCUGCCCUCUGCUCCGAGGCAGGGCCCCAGUGCCAGUGCACACACCAGUCUAGGCCUGGGCAUACGUGUAGCCAGGAUGAGGACAGAUGAGUCUUUGCCAGUCCCCAGGCAUCCGCAGGGUUGGGGAGGCAGCAGAAUCUGGGCGGCUGGGUUCAGAUCCUGAUGGCAGUCUCUGGUGCAAAGGCCUCAAAAGCAGGAGGCUCUCAGCAGGGAGCCAGGAAGAGCUGAAGAAAGUGUGAGAGAAAAGUGCAGGGAAGAGACACGUACUUACUGUGUCCUCUCAGUCUGGAGGGUUGAGAUGGCCAGGAGCAGACGUGGCCAGGAAAGGAGUUUGCUAAUGAGAGGUCAAAAAGGGAGAGGGAGAGGAGACUGAGGAGGAGGGUCAGGAGCAUGUGGCAGAGAAGAGCGAUUCUUACCUUGCUCCUGGGGCUCAGUGCCCCACACCUGCCCACGACCCGCCUGGUGCACCCAGGCCCCUCACAGCGCAGCUUUCACACCCAGAGCGCAGGGCUGUGCUGGGAGUCAGGACCAAGCUUUGUCACAGGCUCCCUAGGCUUCUGGUGCUGCCUCGGAGGAGGGGAGGGUCCAGGGCCGACCUGCUGCCCUGGGUGAAGUGUGGGUGGUCUCUUUUCCAAGCAAAGCUGUUGCUGGAUCAUUAGGAGAAGCUGGGCAUUGGGCCCCUCACCCCAGCUGCAGGAGGAGCUGCCAGUGACAGAAAGGACAGAAACGGGCAAAUGAGAACUCAGGCUGUCACAGACCCCCUUCCUCUUGGUCCAUCCUACUGAGCCAGAGAUCGGGGUCUUUAUUUCAGGUACCCAGGCCCCUGGGACUACAGUCAGGGGCAUGAAUGGUUUUCCUGACCCACCUGGUGUGACCUCCAGCGCAGCCUCCUGUCACCCCGAUCCAGAGAGGAUGGAGAAGGCGCAUCUGCCCACCUGGCCUGUGAAUGGGGAGGGCAUUAGUGCUUUCAAACACCUGUGGUUCUGCACCAUUCCCAGCCUGCCCAGGCCUUUCAGCCAGCCCCAGCCCCUUGCUGCUCCUCUCUGGUCCCAGGUACCUGCUCUAGGGUGGACAGCACCGAGAGUGCUGAGGACCACACUCCGGGCCUUGGCCAUGCCGCUUCUAAGACUCGAGGGUCCGAGAUGUGAGACGUCAGCCGGUGGCCGAUAAGAUCCUGCUUGCCCUCCUCAUCUGACUUUCCUCCCUCCACACCUACAUGCUUCUCCUUUUCCUAUUUCCAGGAACUUUCCAAAUGCAGGAACACAGAGCAACUGCAGGACAGGAUUCCACCAAAUUCCCCUCUCUGGCUCUUGGUUUCCACAUCUGUAAAGUAAAGGGUCGGGCAAGAUGAACGCCACGUUGGCUUCCUUGCAGCAGUGAGGUUCCAUGGUCCAGACCCCAAGGCACCACACUCAUUUGUACAUAACCUCCAGGACACUUUCUUCACGUCAGGACAGAGGAACCACUCUGCUCUCAACUCUGCCCUCCAGUCACCUCACCAGUCUUUGGGUCCAUGGCCCCUCGCGCUUGUCCCUCUUUCUUCAGGAACCUCAGACCUCCGUUCCCAACUUCCUUUCACAAGUUUACCACAUUCCUUGGGCUAAGCCGACUGGACAAAACACCAAGAAACCACCUUACCUACUACCCUGGCUGUGAUUUCGGGCUCCAGGCCCAAGUCAACUGCUUUGGGAGGUCCUGGCCACUGGAGGAAAUGCUGGCACCUCUCCCCAGCACCUCCCCUGCUCCUCCACCUCACUGUUCUCCAUGCCAGCACGAAAAGUGGCCAGUGAUUGAUGGGCCUGGGUUCCCGGUAACCGCACCCAGUGGCCCAAUCCUCCUCCCUUCCUCAAUCCCUCCCCUGCCCCUAUUCAGAGCUCAGAUUGUCUCAUGUUGGUCCCUGAGGUCCCAUUAAUUAAAAAUACAUCCAAUUAAAUGGCAGGUGAAAACGUGCUGCUGGAGCUCCACCCCCCACCCCAGCUUGGUCUCUCCGCUCCCCCUGCCCAAGGCUCAGCUGUGCUUUGGCUGAGAAAAGAGAGGGGGGAGAGAAGGGAAGAGAGUAGAGGAAGACAUAGGGGUAGGAGGAUGGCAGGGGGCUACUUGAACCUCUGCCAGGGUAGCAUGUGCCAGCCUGGGAGGGUGGCACUGUGCCCUGGGGUCUAAUUUCUGGAGGUGUGAGUAGUUCAGUCAGCUGGGUACCCACCUCCAUUUCCCUUAAAGAGGCAGAGGGCAGCCAGGGGGUGGCUAACUGUGCUGCCUACUUCUGCGUUUGGUGGCACGAGCGUAAAUGGUAGCAGGGCCUUCGGAGGGGUGUGCUGUUCAGAGGUCAGGGGCAUCUCAGACCUCCAUCCUGGCCAUAUCUCUGCUCUUCCCCAAACUGCGAAGAAGAUAAUGAGGAGCCAAUGGGGACCCAGGUGGCAGGACACGGCAACGCUCCUGAGCCUGGCUGGGGCUGCUCUUGCCUACAGGAAACCAAGAGACAGAUGCAGGGAGUGAGAAAGAAAGGAGCCAUGACUUGGGCAAGGGCAGACGGGUCAGAUAGAGUAGAAUAUUACAGAAAUGGGUAUUCACGUGGGCACCAUGCCCCCGAGCACUGUAUAGGCAAGAGGGCUUGGAGGCCCUCGUCCUGUUUGCCCUUGGUCUCUGCGGA